RNAcentral lists this long non-coding RNA (204 nucleotides) under Panax ginseng (ginseng). Its description in RNAcentral is "long non-coding RNA (PGIN_LNC012032)". The record is from RNAcentral. Lineage: Eukaryota; Viridiplantae; Streptophyta; Magnoliopsida; Apiales; Araliaceae.
GGGGAUAGCUCAGGCGUGAGAGUCAGUAUCGGUGUUCACAAGGUUAACAAUGGAGGAUGUAAUGUCUAGUGUAUUGAGAGAGAGAGAUAGAUAUUCUCAGUUGUGUGUAUGCGUAUAUGAAUGUGAACGUACCUGUUUGUGAAGACUUGGUUGAUAGGUUAUACUCUCUUGCCCGGUUUACCGUGCCACCUACUACUAACUGAC